RNAcentral lists this ribosomal RNA (641 nucleotides) under Cryptosporangium sp. I12A-02587. Its description in RNAcentral is "bacterial SSU rRNA". It matches the Rfam family "Bacterial small subunit ribosomal RNA", at positions 97 to 753 of the family's 1533-position model. The record is from RNAcentral. Lineage: Bacteria; Bacillati; Actinomycetota; Actinomycetes; Cryptosporangiales; Cryptosporangiaceae.
GGCGAACGGGUGAGUAACACGUGGGCAACCUGCCCCUCGCUCUGGGAUAACUCCGGGAAACCGGGGCUAAUACCGGAUAUGACCACUUUAGGCAUCUUGGGUGGUGGAAAGUUUUUCGGCGAGGGAUGGGCCCGCGGCCUAUCAGCUUGUUGGUGGGGUGAUGGCCUACCAAGGCAGUGACGGGUAGCCGGCCUGAGAGGGCGACCGGCCACACUGGGACUGAGACACGGCCCAGACUCCUACGGGAGGCAGCAGUGGGGAAUAUUGCGCAAUGGGCGAAAGCCUGACGCAGCGACGCCGCGUGAGGGAUGACGGCCUUCGGGUUGUAAACCUCUUUCAGCAGGGACGAAGCGCAAGUGACGGUACCUGCAGAAGAAGCACCGGCCAACUACGUGCCAGCAGCCGCGGUAAUACGUAGGGUGCAAGCGUUGUCCGGAAUUAUUGGGCGUAAAGAGCUCGUAGGCGGCUUGUCACGUCGACUGUGAAAACCCGGGGCUCAACUCCGGGCCUGCAGUCGAUACGGGCUGGCUUGAGUGCGGUAGGGGAGACUGGAAUUCCUGGUGUAGCGGUGAAAUGCGCAGAUAUCAGGAGGAACACCGGUGGCGAAGGCGGGUCUCUGGGCCGUAACUGACGCUGAGGAG